CGGCGAAAGGGUGAGUAACACGUAACCAACGUACCCCUCAGAUCGGGAUAACCACUGGAAACGGUGGAUAAUACUGAAUGGUCCUAGGAAGGACAUCCUUCCGAAGGUAAACGGCGGCUUCGGCUGCUGUUGAGGGAGCGGGUUGCGUCCUAUCAGCUUGUUGGUGAGGUAACGGCUCACCAAGGCUAUGACGGGUAGCGGGUCUGAGAGGAUGAUCCGCCACACUGGGACUGAGACACUGCCCAGACUCCUACGGGAGGCUGCAGUCGAGAGUCUUCCACAAUGGGCGAAAGCCUGAUGGAGCGACGCUGCGUGUAGGAUGAAGGCCUUAGGGUUGUAAACUACUGUCACGCUAUGGGAACCCGUGUAGGUUAAUAGCCUGCGCGCUGACCGAAGCGAGAGGAAGUGCCGGCUAACUCCGUGCCAGCAGCCGCGGUAAGACGGAGGGCGCAAGCGUUGUUCGGAAUCACUGGGCAUAAAGGGCGCGUAGGCGGCCAGUUCAGUCGGAUGUGAAAUCCCCCGGCCCAACCGGGGAACUGCAUUCGAUACUGACUGGCUAGAGGAUGGUAGGAGCCAAUGGAACUCCAGGUGGAACGGUGAAAUGUGUAGAUAUCUGGAGGAACACCGGUGGCGAAAGCGAUUGGCUGGGCCAUUUCUGACGCUGAGGCGCGAAAGCUAGGGGGGCGAACGGGAUUAGAUACCCCGGUAGUCCUAGCCGUAAACGAUGGGUACUGG
Molecule: ribosomal RNA, 735 nt
Filed under: uncultured Planctomycetota bacterium
Lineage: Bacteria; Pseudomonadati; Planctomycetota
Description: bacterial SSU rRNA
Rfam family: Bacterial small subunit ribosomal RNA
Source: RNAcentral